RNAcentral lists this long non-coding RNA (524 nucleotides) under Homo sapiens (human). RNAcentral's name for it is "non-protein coding lnc-VEGFA-3:1". Lineage: Eukaryota; Metazoa; Chordata; Mammalia; Primates; Hominidae. The record is from RNAcentral.
AGAGCGAGGAUAGAUGUCUCCCUAGAGCCUUACCUGCUGCCCCUGGGGAGGUCUGGGGCUUCCACCCAGAGGAAGAGCAGGGGUGGUCUGGGCAGCCCAGGAGUCUGGGGGAAGGAAGCAAGCACCCUUACUCCUCAUGAUCUCUGUCCUGUUACCCUCCCCAGUGCCUGGGGCCAGGGCUAGGUGUGUGUUAUCUCACCUCAAACAGUGGCUCUGGGCUCCCCUGCCCAAGCUAAUGUCAUAGUGGAGGCCUCAGGCCCUGCACCAACAUGGUUCCGUAGUCCCUGGAGUCAGGCUGGGGGAGCCCAGGGCUGAGGCUCCCUUUCAUCCCCUCCCACCAGGAAAGGGUCUUUCUCGGUAUUUCCCACAAACACUCAUAUCACCACUUGACAGCCUUUUCAUUCCAUUCUCCCGCCUCUCUCAGCCCCACCACACCCCUGACACAUUCCUUCCCCCACUUCAGCUCCUGGAUCGCAGGCAGGGGCACCCUGCCUAUCCCCUCUCCCAAAGCGGGUGCCUGGGAG